UACGUAGGGUGCGAGCGUUAAUCGGAAUUACUGGGCGUAAAGUGUGCGCAGGUGGCCGCGCAAGUCGAGUGUGAAAGCCCCCGGCUCAACUGGGGAGGGUCACGCGAUACUGAUCGACUCGAAGGCAGGAGAGGGUAGUGGAAUUCCCGGUGUAGUGGUGAAAUGCGUAGAUAUCGGGAGGAACACCAGUGGCGAAGGCGACUACCUGGCCUGUUCUUGACGCUGAGGCGCGAAAGCUAGGGGAGCAAACGGG
This 253-nucleotide ribosomal RNA is filed under the name uncultured bacterium. RNAcentral's name for it is "partial 16S ribosomal RNA". It matches the Rfam family "Bacterial small subunit ribosomal RNA", at positions 524 to 776 of the family's 1533-position model. The record is from RNAcentral.